RNAcentral lists this ribosomal RNA (253 nucleotides) under uncultured bacterium. RNAcentral describes it as "partial 16S ribosomal RNA". It matches the Rfam family "Bacterial small subunit ribosomal RNA", at positions 524 to 776 of the family's 1533-position model. The record is from RNAcentral.
UACAGAGGUCUCAAGCGUUGUUCGGAUUCAUUGGGAGUAAAGGGUGUGUAGGUGGCGCGCUAAGUCGGGUGUGAAAUUUUGGAGCUUAACUCCGAAACUGCAUUCGAUACUGGCGUGCUUGAGGACUGGAGAGGAGACUGGAAUUCAUGGUGUAGCAGUGAAAUGCGUAGAGAUCAUGAGGAAGACCAGUGGCGAAGGCGGGUCUCUGGACAGUUCCUGACACUGAGACACGAAGGCCAGGGGAGCAAACGGG